GACGGAGGAGGAAAGCGGUAUCCGGAAUUAUUGGGCGUAAAGGGUACGUAGGCGGCCGGUCAAGUCUGGGGUCAAAGGCCACAGCUCAACUGUGGGAAGGCCCUGGAAACUGACCGGCUAGAGUGAGGUAGGGGUUGCGGGAAUUCCAGGUGUAGCGGUGAAAUGCGUAGAGAUCGGGAAGAACACCUGAGGCGGAAGCGCGCAACUGGGCCUCAACUGACGCUGAGGUAAGAAAGCUAGGGGAGCGAAUGGG
RNAcentral lists this ribosomal RNA (253 nucleotides) under uncultured bacterium. RNAcentral describes it as "partial 16S ribosomal RNA". It matches the Rfam family "Bacterial small subunit ribosomal RNA", at positions 524 to 776 of the family's 1533-position model. The record is from RNAcentral.